GACGUAGGGGGCAAGCGUUGUCCGGAUUUAUUGGGCGUAAAGAGCGUGUAGGCGGCCAUACAGGUCCGUUGUGAAAACUCGAGGCUCAACCUCGAGACGUCGAUGGAAACCGUAUGGCUAGAGUCCGGAAGAGGAGAGUGGAAUUCCUGGUGUAGCGGUGAAAUGCGCAGAUAUCAGGAGGAACACCAAUGGCGAAGGCAGCACUCUGGGACGUGACUGACGCUGAGACGCGAAAGCGUGGGGAGCAAACAGG
This 253-nucleotide ribosomal RNA is filed under the name uncultured bacterium. RNAcentral describes it as "partial 16S ribosomal RNA". It matches the Rfam family "Bacterial small subunit ribosomal RNA", at positions 524 to 776 of the family's 1533-position model. The record is from RNAcentral.